AUUCAUUUAGUAUAAAAAGUAUACUUAACUUCCAAUUAAAAGGUUUAUAAACUUAAAAUGAAUA
Molecule: transfer RNA, 64 nt
Filed under: Chinaocerus tubulatus
Lineage: Eukaryota; Metazoa; Arthropoda; Insecta; Hemiptera; Cicadellidae
Description: tRNA-Gly
Source: RNAcentral